RNAcentral lists this long non-coding RNA (497 nucleotides) under Pan troglodytes (chimpanzee). Its description in RNAcentral is "long non-coding RNA NONPTRT011298". The record is from RNAcentral. Lineage: Eukaryota; Metazoa; Chordata; Mammalia; Primates; Hominidae.
GAUGAGUAAAAACAAGAAAUUGGUGCAAGGUUUGAAAGGCAGAAAGGAGGCAGCAGCUGUGACUGGAGAGCGCUACAGUGUAAGGUGGUGAGAGACAGCUGCAGAGGCGGUGGUCGGUUGGCUUUCAUCUUCCGUCUUUCCUGCUGCAUGCCUGGUGCUUCUUCCUGCCAGCUUUACUGACCAACAGCAACUCCAACCCCAUUACCGAUGCUCGGCUGCAAGCUCAGAGAAUGAAUGGGUUCACACAACAACCCUGUCAAAGAGGUACUAUGAUCUACAUUUCACAAACCAGAAGAUAAUUAUUAAGUAACUUCUCGGAGAUCACAGUGGAGGAACUAAGAUUCAAAUUGUCUUCUGACCAGAGCUGGGCUCUGAAACCACUCCAAGAAUUGAUCAUCAGCCUUAAACAAUCAGUCUUCUUUCCUUGUAAUAAACUGAGUUACUCAUCUAAGAAUGUCAACUUUGUCUUACUACCACUUGACUCAGUUAUUUUUUUC